GAUGAACGCUGGCGGCGUGCCUAAUACAUGCAAGUCGAGCGAAGCGGGGACGGGUGAGUAACACGUGGAUAACCUCCUAUAAGACUGGGAUCACUUCGGGAAACCGGAGCUAAAACGAAUACGUAAAGAUGGAUCACCGCUGCAUUAGCUAGUUGGUAAGGUAACGGCUUACCAAGGCAACGAUGCAUAGCCGACAUGAGCGUGUGGUCGGCCACAGUGGAACUGAGACACGGUCCAAACUCCUACGGGAGGCAGCAGUAGGGAAUCUUCCGCAAUGGGCGAAAGCCUGACGGAGCAACGCCGCGUGAGUGAUGAAGUUCUUCGGAUCGUAAAACUCUGUUAUUAGGGAAGCGGUACCUAAUCAGAAAGCCACGGCUAACUACGGGCCAGCAGCCGCGGUAAUUC
RNAcentral lists this ribosomal RNA (405 nucleotides) under uncultured bacterium. RNAcentral's name for it is "partial 16S ribosomal RNA". It matches the Rfam family "Bacterial small subunit ribosomal RNA", at positions 28 to 526 of the family's 1533-position model. The record is from RNAcentral.